Molecule: long non-coding RNA, 1149 nt
Filed under: Homo sapiens (human)
Lineage: Eukaryota; Metazoa; Chordata; Mammalia; Primates; Hominidae
Description: small nucleolar RNA host gene 12
Source: RNAcentral
UCCCCGCCGCAUUCCCGGUGUCGACUUACUAGCUGCAAGCCUCUGCCUGCCUUCCUGCGCGCCGUUCCCCGCUAGUCGCUGCUGCUGGCGCGCACUCGCCGGGUUUUUCCUCCCACGGCCUCGAGAUGGUGGUGAAUGUGGCACGGAGGAGCCGGGCCUUCCAACCCGGUGGGCCCGAGCUCCGAAAGGCCCCCUCGGCAGUGAGAGGGGCGGGAGCCCGCGGGGGCCGCGCCCUUCUCUCGCUUCGGACUGCGCAACGCUGCGCUCUGGGCUGACAGGCGGAUAAAACGGUCCCAUCAAGACUGAGAAAAAGCACACCAGCUAUUGGCACAGCGUGGGCAGUGGGGCCUACAGGAUGACUGACUUAGUCUACAGAGAUCCCGGCGUACUUAAGCAGGUAGUAAUGAUGGACAGAUGAAGACUCUUAAGAUGACAGAAGGUGAUUUUUCUGGUGAUCGAGGACUUCCGGGGUAAUGACAGUGAUGAAAUGCAGGGGACCUGGUUGCCCCCAAGUUUCCUGGCAGUGUGUGAUACUGAGGAGGUGAGCUUGUUUCUGGAGCUGUGCUUUAAGAUUCAUGUUACAUGUAAAGCUGUCCUCAUUUGUGACUAUGGACCUAUGGAGUUGGGUAAGUUAGUGACUACCCAAAGCUUUGUCACAACUUGGUGUGUAGCUGCAGGUAGUGCUCAACUAUCUGGGAUCCUGUCCUAAGUAGUCAACCUAAUAGAACUAUAAGGUUACUUAGGUCUGUGUCAAAGUUACAGCUUUUUUUUUUUUUUUUUUUGAGACAGGGUCUUUCUGUCACCCAGGCUGGAGUGCAGUGGCACAAUCUUGGCUAAUUGCCUCCCAGGUUCAAGUGAUUCUCCUGCCUCAGCCUCCUGAGUAGCUGGGACUAUAAGCACGCACCACUAUGUCUGGCUAAUUUUUGUAUUUUUAGUAGAGACAGGGUUUCACCACGUUGCCCAGGGCAGUCUUGAACUCCUGACCCCAAGUGAUCUGCCUGCCUUGGCCUACCAAAGUGCUAGGAUUACAGGCAUGAACCACUGUGCCGGGCCAGAAAGUCUUAGCAUCUUAGUAACAUUUACAUUUGGCCUCCCUCGUGUGCCCUUAGCUAUUCAUUACCAGAGGGCAAAGAUGGUUAGAACAUGAUU